GCUUCCUUUGGCAGCACCCACACCAAUAUUAAAACACAGAGAAGCUUAGCGUUGCCCCUGCAGAAGGAUGCAAGUGCAAAUUGAGGAAGCGGUCCAUAUCUAU
Molecule: small nuclear RNA, 103 nt
Organism: Euleptes europaea (tarantolino)
Lineage: Eukaryota; Metazoa; Chordata; Lepidosauria; Squamata; Sphaerodactylidae
Source: RefSeq, a predicted model, not a curated record